UACAGAGGUCCCAAGCGUUGUUCGGAUUCACUGGGCGGUAAAGGGUGCGUAGGUGGUUGGGAAAGUUUGAUGUGAAAGCUCGGAGCUUAACUCCGAAAUGGCAUUGAAUACUUCUUAACUUGAGGGUCGGAGGGGAGACUGGAAUUCUCGGUGUAGCAGUGAAAUGCGUAGAUAUCGAGAGGAACACCAGUGGCGAAGGCGAGUCUCUGGACGACUCCUGACACUGAGGCAC
Molecule: ribosomal RNA, 232 nt
Filed under: uncultured bacterium
Lineage: Bacteria
Description: partial 16S ribosomal RNA
Rfam family: Bacterial small subunit ribosomal RNA
Source: RNAcentral